CCGAUUGUCACCCGCUGUCACCCAAUCUCACCUCUGUCACCCGCUGUCGCCCUCUAUCACUGAUUGUCGCCUGCUGUCACCCGCUGUCACCUUGAUCACCUUCUGUCACCUACUGACACCUUUUGUCACCUGCUGUCACCUUCUGCUCUCUACUGUCACCUCUGUCACCUCUGUCACCUGCUGUCACCGAUUGUCACCUCUGUCACCCACUGUUAUCUUCUGUCACCUGCUGUCACCUUUUAUCUCCUACUCCCACCCACUGUCACCUUCUGUCACUUCUGUCACCAGCUGUUACCUCUAGCACCUCCUGCCACCUUUGGUUGUCUUCUUUCACCGUUUGUCACCUUCUGUCACCUUUUGUCACCUCCUGUCACCCCCCAUCACCCACGGACACCCUUGUCCUGUGUCACCCUGGGACGUUGUCCCCUCACGUUUCCCGCCAUUUUCUCCCCUCACGUUUCCCGCCAUUUUUCUCUUCAUGUUUCCCGCCCUUUUCUCCCCUCACGUUUCCCACCCUUUUCCCCUCACAUUUCCACACUUUUCUCCCCUUUUUUUUAAUAAUUUUUUUCCUCUCAUUUCCCAUCCUUUUCCCUCAAAUUUAUUUCCCUUUUUGCCUUCCAUUUCUGGCCUUUUUCCCCUCACGUUUCCCUCCUUUUCCUCCCCUUGCAUUUCCUACUCGUUUUUCCCUUACAUUUCUCAGUCUUUGCAUCUCACAUUUCUCACUAUUUUUCCCCUAAUAUUUCCUACGAAUUUUUCCCUUUUCAUUUCCUUUGUCUUUGUUGUUUCAUUUCCCACUCAAUUUCCCCUCACGUUUCCCGCCCUUUUCCCCCCUCAUCCGUUCCCGCCAUUUUUUCCUUCAGAUUUUCCCCUUUUUUCCCCUCACAUUUCCCACCUUUUUUUAUAACUUUUCUUCCUCUUAUUUCCCAUCUUUUUCUCUCAAAUUUACUUCCCUUUUUGCCUUCCAUUUUUCACCUUUUUCCCCUCACAUUUCCCGCCCUUUUCCCCCCUCAUCCUUUCCCGCCAUAUUUUCCCUCAGAUUUCCCCCCUUUUUCCCCUCACAUUCUCCAUCUUUUCUUCUCUUGUUUCAUAACUUUUCUUCCUCUCAUUUCCCAUCCUUUUCACUCAAUUUUACUUUCCUUUUUGCCUUCCAUUUUUCACCUUUUUCCCCUCACAUUUCUCACUCUUUUCUCCCCUCACGAUCCCCACCAUUUUAUUCACUCACAUUGCCCUCCCUUUUUCCCCUCACAUUUCCACCCUUUCUCCCCUUUUUUUUAUAACUUUUCUUCCUCUUAUUUCCCAUCCUUUUCCCUCAAAUUUAUUUCCCUUUUUGCCUUCCAUUUUUCACCUUUUUCCCCUCACGUUUCCCGCUCUUUUCUCCCCUCACAUUUUCUACCCUUUUUCCCCCCAUAUUUCCCACAUUUUUUCCCUCACGUUUCCCACCUUUUCUGCCCUUGUUUUAUACCUUUUCUUUCUCUCAUUUCCCAUCCUUUUCGCUCAAGUUUAUUGUCCUUUUUGCCUUCCAUUUUUUCUCCCCUCACAUUUCCCUCCCUUUUCCCCCCUCAUGUUUCCCACUCUUUUUCUCCCCUCACAUUUCCCACCAAUUUUUCCCUCACAUUUCUCACUCUUUGCCUCUCACAUUUCUCUCACUUUUUCCUCUCACAUUUCCCACAUUUUUUGCCCUCACACUUCCCACCAAUUCUUCCCCCAUGCCCUUUUCCCCUCACAUUUUUCACCCUUUUUUCCUCUAAGGUUUUCUGCGACUUCCAUUUUUGCAUUUCCCGCCAUUUUUUUCCCCUCAAGUUUUACGCCGUUCUUUUUCUCACAUUUUUUCACACUUUUCCUCCUAAUGUUUCCCACCAAUUUUUCCCUUUUCAUUUCUUUUUGCUUUGUUGUCUCGUUUCCCACCCAAUUUCCCCUCACAUUUUCCACUCUUUGCCCCUCAUGUUUCUCGCUUUUUCUCCCCUCGUGUUUCCC
This 1974-nucleotide long non-coding RNA is filed under the name Junco hyemalis (dark-eyed junco). RNAcentral's name for it is "lncRNA (ENSJHYG00000014779.1)". The record is from RNAcentral. Lineage: Eukaryota; Metazoa; Chordata; Aves; Passeriformes; Passerellidae.